This 172-nucleotide microRNA precursor is filed under the name Saccharum sp. RNAcentral's name for it is "miR437b stem-loop (ssp-MIR437b)". Its record names the gene ssp-MIR437b. Lineage: Eukaryota; Viridiplantae; Streptophyta; Magnoliopsida; Poales; Poaceae. The record is from miRBase by way of RNAcentral.
AAGUCAAAUUUCUUUAGUUUUGGACAAGUUUAUAAAAAUGCACAAACAUCACAACAUCAAACUACAUUUAUUAGAUACAUCAUGAAAUAUACUUUGAUAGUGCAUUUAUUUGAUAUUGCAGAUAUUAAUAUAUUUUUGUAUAAACUUGGUCAAAGUUAGACAAGUUUGACAU